Dichomitus squalens LYAD-421 SS1 is the source of this 83-nucleotide transfer RNA. It matches the Rfam family "tRNA". Rfam says of the family: Transfer RNA (tRNA) molecules are approximately 80 nucleotides in length. The record is from Rfam. NCBI's taxonomy places the organism in Eukaryota, Fungi, Basidiomycota, Agaricomycetes, Polyporales, Polyporaceae.
UGCCCCAUGGCUGAGUUGGUUACAGCGUCCGACUGUUACUCUUCGCAAUCGGAAGGUCGUGAGUUCGAGCCUCACUGGGGCAG